AAAAAGACAAACCCUAGGUUUCCGUGUCCAACGUUUGACCGUCUGUCUUAUUUGAAAAAAUUAUAAAAAAUUUAAAAAAGACAAGUCACGCAUAAAGUAUUAAUCAUGUUUUAUCAUCUAACAAUAAUGAAAAUACUAAUUAUAAAAAAAUUUCAUAUAAGACGGACAGUCAAACGUUGGACACGGAAACCCAGGGUUUGUCUUUUU
RNAcentral lists this microRNA precursor (207 nucleotides) under Oryza barthii. RNAcentral describes it as "MIR812 microRNA precursor family". It matches the Rfam family "MIR812 microRNA precursor family". The record is from Rfam by way of RNAcentral. Lineage: Eukaryota; Viridiplantae; Streptophyta; Magnoliopsida; Poales; Poaceae.